RNAcentral lists this ribosomal RNA (253 nucleotides) under uncultured bacterium. Its description in RNAcentral is "partial 16S ribosomal RNA". It matches the Rfam family "Bacterial small subunit ribosomal RNA", at positions 524 to 776 of the family's 1533-position model. The record is from RNAcentral.
UACGGGGGGGGCAAGCGUUGUUCGGAAUUACUGGGCGUAAAGGGCUCGUAGGUGGCCAACUAAGUCAGACGUGAAAUCCCCAGGCUUAACCUGGGAACUGCGUCUGAUACUGGAUGGCUUGAAUUCGGGAGAGGGAUGCAGAAUUCCAGGUGUAGCGGUGAAAUGCGUAGAUAUCUGGAGGAAUACCGGUGGCGAAGGCGGCAUCCUGGACCGACAUUGACGCUGAGGAGCGAAAGCUAGGGGAGCAAACAGG